RNAcentral lists this transfer RNA (75 nucleotides) under Escherichia coli. Its description in RNAcentral is "tRNA-Gly". It matches the Rfam family "tRNA". Rfam says of the family: Transfer RNA (tRNA) molecules are approximately 80 nucleotides in length. The record is from RNAcentral. Lineage: Bacteria; Pseudomonadati; Pseudomonadota; Gammaproteobacteria; Enterobacterales; Enterobacteriaceae.
GCGGGCAUCGUAUAAUGGCUAUUACCUCAGCCUUCCAAGCUGAUGAUGCGGGUUCGAUUCCCGCUGCCCACUCCA